GCCCGCACCUCCGGCCCCCGGACGACGGUUCAGUACCCGGCACGCGACAAGACUGGC
RNAcentral lists this non-coding RNA (57 nucleotides) under uncultured Arthrobacter sp. The record is from RNAcentral. Lineage: Bacteria; Bacillati; Actinomycetota; Actinomycetes; Micrococcales; Micrococcaceae.